GCAGACACAUUCCAGCCAAUCAGCAGCAGACCCUCCCUCCCAGACCCUCCCACCUCCUGGACAGCAUCCAUUUUACAUUCAUUGUGAAGCUGCAUUCUUAGUGAGCUGUCCAGGAGGUGGGAGGGUCUGGGAGGGAGGGUCUGCUGCUGAUUGGCUGGAAUGUGUCCG
Molecule: non-coding RNA, 168 nt
Organism: Pelobates cultripes (western spadefoot toad)
Lineage: Eukaryota; Metazoa; Chordata; Amphibia; Anura; Pelobatidae
Source: the annotation of a GenBank genome assembly